Molecule: ribosomal RNA, 1096 nt
Filed under: Minutisphaera parafimbriatispora
Lineage: Eukaryota; Fungi; Ascomycota; Dothideomycetes; Minutisphaerales; Minutisphaeraceae
Description: SSU rRNA
Rfam family: Eukaryotic small subunit ribosomal RNA
Source: RNAcentral
GUAGUCAUAUCUUGUCUCAAAGAUUAAGCCAUGCAUGUCUAAGUAUAAGCAAUCUAUACGGUGAAACUGCGAAUGGCUCAUUAAAUCAGUUAUCGUUUAUUUGAUAGUACCUUACUACUUGGAUAACCGUGGUAAUUCUAGAGCUAAUACAUGCUAAAAACCCCAACUUCGGAAGGGGUGUAUUUAUUAGAUAAAAAACCAACGCCCUUCGGGGCUCCUUGGUGAUUCAUAAUAACUAAACGAAUCGCAUGGCCUUGCGCCGGCGAUGGUUCAUUCAAAUUUCUGCCCUAUCAACUUUCGAUGGUAGGAUAGUGGCCUACCAUGGUAUCAACGGGUAACGGGGAAUUAGGGUUCUAUUCCGGAGAGGGAGCCUGAGAAACGGCUACCACAUCCAAGGAAGGCAGCAGGCGCGCAAAUUACCCAAUCCCGACACGGGGAGGUAGUGACAAUAAAUACUGAUACAGGGCUCUUACGGGUCUUGUAAUUGGAAUGAGUACAAUUUAAAUCCCUUAACGAGGAACAAUUGGAGGGCAAGUCUGGUGCCAGCAGCCGCGGUAAUUCCAGCUCCAAUAGCGUAUAUUAAAGUUGUUGCAGUUAAAAAGCUCGUAGUUGAACCUUGGGCCUGGCUGGCCGGUCCGCCUCACCGCGUGCACUGGUCCGGCCGGGCCUUUCCUUCUGGGGAUCCGCAUGCCCUUUACUGGGUGUGCUGGGGAACCAGGACUUUUACUUUGAAAAAAUUAGAGUGUUCAAAGCAGGCCUUUGCUCGAAUACAUUAGCAUGGAAUAAUAGAAUAGGACGUGCGGUUCUAUUUUGUUGGUUUCUAGGACCGCCGUAAUGAUUAAUAGGGAUAGUCGGGGGCAUCAGUAUUCAAUUGUCAGAGGUGAAAUUCUUGGAUUUAUUGAAGACUAACUACUGCGAAAGCAUUUGCCAAGGAUGUUUUCAUUAAUCAGUGAACGAAAGUUAGGGGAUCGAAGACGAUCAGAUACCGUCGUAGUCUUAACCAUAAACUAUGCCGACUAGGGAUCGGGCGAUGUUACUAUUCUGACUCGCUCGGCACCUUACCGAGAAAUCAAAGUCUUGGGUUCUGGGGAGUUGG